AAUCAAUUCUUUUGUUUGAUGUGUAUGUGAAGUGUGUGUGAACCCCAAACCUUUAUUUGCUUGAUUUUCAAAUGAAGCCGUCUUCUGACACAAAAUAGGCUGUGCUGGGUUCCUUUAAAUUAUGCAAACCAAGAUUUAAAACAGACCAGGAGAAAAGUGUUUCACUCUCUUUUGCUCAGUUUCUUUGAGGUCGCCUGAGUUCUGGCAUGUGAUAGGUGGAUCUGAGUUUCAUUGCUGGAAGUAAAAUGGGAACCAUGUCUAAUGAUCUUUAACUGAGUAUUUUCAACACAUGGUUCGUAGUCAAGCAGUUUCCUGGCAAUUGUGUUUUCUGGGAUGGAUCCCGGGUCAUUAUGCCUGCAUGCAGAGGGAUCUGCUGGCACUGGAGUGCUGGGCUAUCAGUUAUUACCUCAUCAUGAGAAGACAGGUCCAUCUCACUUUUGAUGUUCUUUAAAGUGGAGAUCUCACUACCAGGAGAAAUGCUGUUUUUUACUUUUUUGUUGAUAUGAGUGUCAUUGUUAGAAGUAUGAUGGAGAUGAUGUUGAAUGAUCUUUCCCUGAGUUUUGCUUCAACACGUGGGUUGUAGUCAAGGAGUUUGCUGGAAAUUGUGUUUCCUGGGAUGGAUCCCAGAUCAUUAUGGAAGCAGAGUGAUCUGCUGGCACUGGAGUGCUUGGGUACGCUUUCAUUUUCAUUUGUUUGUUUUCUUUUAUUCGUGUGCUGUCAAGUGUGUGUGUGUGUGUAUGUUUGUGUAUAUUAAUGCUAAUAGAUUUUCAGUCAAAACAUACAUCAGUGGGCCACUGAGAGGGCUAAACUGAUAAAUAUUCUUGCCAGCAUGACUGACAACUCCAAUUUGAUCCCUCAGACUGAAAUGGUGAGAGGAGAGAACCGAUGUCUAUAAAUUAUCCUUGGUCUUGUCUCCUUUGCCCCAACCCUAUCACAUGACAUCACAGUCAAAUUUGAUCAAAGCUUGAGCUUUGGCAUGUGAUAGGUGGAUCUGAGCGUCCUAUCCUGGAAGUACAUUGGGGAUGAGGUUGAAUGAUGUUUACCUCAGUUUUUGCUUCUAUGUCAGACUUAUAUUCUAGCAGUUUGCUGGCAAUUUUUGUGUUGUCCCUGGAAACGGCACAGUGCAGGACUGUAUUUCCACUUAAAUCACUCAGGUGGGAAUUAGCACCCUGAAUCAGUAAUAUAGUUAUGCAUUCUACAUUGCCCCUCUGUGUGGCCUGUUGGUAUUGUAUAAAGAAAGAGACAUUCAAUUCAAGAAAGUCAAGAUAAAUAUUUCUAAAAUUGCAUUGAAUAGUUACACUUAGAUCAGAGAAAUUGCUCAGCUUAUGCAUAUUUCCCUCUCUUUUUAAGACAGGGUCUUCUUAAGUACCCUAGUCUUGCCUAAAUUCAUAAUCUCCCCACCAAAGCUUUCCAAGUGACAGAAUUUCAGGAGUGUGCCAAUACACCUAGAUAUUAAAGCAUCUCAUCAGCACUAGUUGGUUGCUGUUAUAGUGAGGGAGGUUGCUUGUUCAUUUGUUUUGCUAACUUGACACAGGCUGAAGAUCCCUGGAAAGAGGGAUCCUCACUUGAGGAAUUGCCUCUAUCAGACUGGGCUGUGGGAAAGUCUGUGGAGCAUUUUCUUGAUUGAGGUUGAUGUGGGAGGGCACCUCUUCCAAGAGGUGGUUGCACAGCUUGGCAGGUAGUCCAGAGUAUUCUAAGAAAGCUGCAAGCCUUGGAAAAAGCCAUGGAAAAGCAGCAUUGCCCCCAUGAUCUCUGCUUCAGUUCCUGCCUCUGGUUCCUGACUUGAGCUCCUGCCCUGGUUUCCCUUCAUGAUGGACUGUGAUGUGGAAUUGUGCACCAAAUAAACAUUUUCUUUCCCAA
Peromyscus maniculatus bairdii (prairie deer mouse) is the source of this 1860-nucleotide non-coding RNA. Lineage: Eukaryota; Metazoa; Chordata; Mammalia; Rodentia; Cricetidae. The record is from RefSeq and is a predicted model, not a curated record.